AGCAGCCGCGGUAAUUCCAGCUCCAAUAGCGUAUAUUAAAGUUGUUGCAGUUAAAAAGCUCGUAGUUGAAUUUCGGGAUCAGUUUGUUGGCCGUGCUUCGGUACGUACUGUCAUUACUGGUUUCUACCUUCUGAAGAACCUUGAUGUCAUUAAUUUGGUGUCUUGGGGAAUCAGGACUGUUACUUUGAAAAAUUAGAGUGUUUAAAGCAGGCUCGCGCUUGAAUACAUUAGCAUGGAAUAAUGAAAUAGGACGUUUGAUUCUAUUUUGUUGGUUUCUAGGAUCGACGUAAUGAUUAAUAGGGAUAGUUGGGGGCAUUAGUAUUCAAUUGUCAGAGGUGAAAUUCUUGGAUUUAUUGAAGACUAACUACUGCGAAAGCAUUUGCCAAGGAUGUUCUCAUUAAUCAAGAACGAAAGUUAGGGGAUCGAAGACGAUCAGAUACCGUCGUAGUCUUAACCAUAAACUAUGCCGACUAGGGAUCGGAUGAUGUUAAUUUUUAAUGACUCAUUCGGCGCCUUAAC
RNAcentral lists this ribosomal RNA (519 nucleotides) under uncultured Glomus. RNAcentral describes it as "SSU rRNA". It matches the Rfam family "Eukaryotic small subunit ribosomal RNA", at positions 569 to 1092 of the family's 1831-position model. Lineage: Eukaryota; Fungi; Glomeromycota; Glomeromycetes; Glomerales; Glomeraceae. The record is from RNAcentral.